GCACUGCUGAGGAGUCCCACAAUAGGACGUAAACGCACGUCCAGUGC
Molecule: non-coding RNA, 47 nt
Filed under: Schistosoma mansoni
Lineage: Eukaryota; Metazoa; Platyhelminthes; Trematoda; Strigeidida; Schistosomatidae
Source: RNAcentral